AUGACCAUCCUCUCCAAGGAUGCUCCUACGGAGAUCUCCCACCCCGCCCACCCGGAGCACAAGCUGAAGCUGAUGGCCACCGGCGCGGCGGAGUUCCAGUGCGACGUCUGCAAGGAGCUAGGCGCCGGGGACCGGUACACGUGCCGACCCUGCGACUUCGACCUCCACAGAGACUGCGCGCUCGCAGAGGCCACGCUGGCGCACCCAUUGCUCAAGGGCAGAGAGUUCCAGCUCCGCCUCGAGCACCCGCGCCACCGCGACGGCGGCGGCGGGACAUGCGGCGCCUGCGGCGGGAAGGUGCUCGGGCUGCACUACCACUGCGCCGCCAAGAAGGGCUCGGACCUCCACCCGUGCUGCGCGGCACUGCCGCUGGUGAUCCCUCAGGAGGAGCUCACGCUCGAGCUCCGGAAGGAGGCGUCUCACCGCUGCAGCAGCUGCCGGGAAAGAGGCAGGGGCAGGACCUGGUUCUACCGUUCCACCUGCAAGACCGUGUACCUGCACGUGGCCUGCGUCAAAGAGAUUGCUCGCCGGAGCCGUGGCGCCGGCGACGGCUCGAGUACCGAUCCGUUCGCUUCCGUUAAGGAAGCGGCGGUGCAGAUCUACCGCGCAAAGAAGGACGAGAGCGAGUUGGAGCGCGUCAUUCUCGAGCUGGUUCUUGGAGGUUGA
RNAcentral lists this ribosomal RNA (666 nucleotides) under Triticum aestivum (bread wheat). RNAcentral describes it as "partial small subunit ribosomal RNA". Lineage: Eukaryota; Viridiplantae; Streptophyta; Magnoliopsida; Poales; Poaceae. The record is from RNAcentral.